Molecule: ribosomal RNA, 468 nt
Filed under: uncultured bacterium
Lineage: Bacteria
Description: partial 16S ribosomal RNA
Rfam family: Bacterial small subunit ribosomal RNA
Source: RNAcentral
GACGAACGCUGGCGGCGUGCUUAACACAUGCAAGUCGAACGGAAAGGCCCUGCUUUUGUGGGGUGCUCGAGUGGCGAACGGGUGAGUAACGCGUGAGUAACCUGCCCUUGACUUUGGGAUAACUUCAGGAAACUGGGGCUAAUACCGGAUAGGAGCUCCUGCUGCAUGGUGGGGGUUGGAAAGUUUCGGCGGUUGGGGAUGGACUCGCGGCUUAUCAGCUUGUUGGUGGGGUAGUGGCUUACCAAGGCUUUGACGGGUAGCCGGCCUGAGAGGGUGACCGGCCACAUUGGGACUGAGAUACGGCCCAGACUCCUACGGGAGGCAGCAGUGGGGAAUAUUGCACAAUGGGCGGAAGCCUGAUGCAGCAACGCCGCGUGCGGGAUGACGGCCCUCGGGUUGUAAACCGCUUUCGCCUGUGACGAAGCGUGAGUGACGGUAAUGGGUAAAGAAGCACCGGCUAACUACGUG